AUGAACGAGUCAUGUUAGAUACAGAAGCUAAUAGUUUCAAUGGCGUGUGCAAGUUGAAUGUGUCCAUCCCUAGAGGAGACAGUUCACAUGGAGCUAUCGAGGCUACCCACGAGGAUAAAACUUCAAAAGAAGCUAUUGAUCUGAUUGGAGGAAUAGAUACUCAAAUUUGUGUCCAAAGAAAUGCCACUGCUGCAUCUGAUGCUUCAGAAAGUCUUGCUUGUGAGAAAGAUACCAAGUACAAGUCAAGUUCG
Molecule: unclassified non-coding RNA, 251 nt
Filed under: Hevea brasiliensis (rubber tree)
Lineage: Eukaryota; Viridiplantae; Streptophyta; Magnoliopsida; Malpighiales; Euphorbiaceae
Source: RNAcentral